AAGUCGUAACAAGGUUUCCGUAGGUGAACCUGCGGAAGGAUCAUUAACACUAUUUGGCUUAUUUCAUUAGGUUCGCUUAAUGAGAUAAGUUCAAAUUUCCACACACACCGCGAUUCCGGGGGCCGCAAGGCCGCCAUCAUGGAAGCAACGAGGGUAAGGUCGCUUGGCGUGACGAAGUGAGCUCAGGAUAUCCCAUCAACCUCGGCAACCCCCCUUCCGUCUCUCGUUGCGGCAUUUUUGGAGAUGUGACACUUCACACGUCUCGUCCCCCGUCCCUUUUUUCACCGUAAUCCAAUCGACUGAUUUUCGAAGUAAGUUGAAAAACUAAGCUUCUAGUAAAAAAACUAAGCACAACUCUUAGCAACGGAUAUCUUGGUUCUC
This 381-nucleotide unclassified non-coding RNA is filed under the name fungal sp. RNAcentral describes it as "partial internal transcribed spacer region". The stretch from base 1 to 46 matches the Rfam family "Eukaryotic small subunit ribosomal RNA", at positions 1786 to 1831 of the family's 1831-position model. The record is from RNAcentral. Lineage: Eukaryota; Fungi.